This 523-nucleotide ribosomal RNA is filed under the name uncultured Chryseobacterium sp. RNAcentral's name for it is "bacterial SSU rRNA". It matches the Rfam family "Bacterial small subunit ribosomal RNA", at positions 392 to 916 of the family's 1533-position model. The record is from RNAcentral. Lineage: Bacteria; Pseudomonadati; Bacteroidota; Flavobacteriia; Flavobacteriales; Weeksellaceae.
CCAUCCCGCGUGAGGACUAAGGCCUUAUGGGUUGUAAACUUCUUUUAUACUGGGAUAAACCUACUUACGCGUAAGUAGCUGAAGGUACGGUAUGAAUAAGCACCGGCUAACUCCGUGCCAGCAGCCGCGGUAAUACGGAGGGUGCGAGCGUUAUCCGGAUUUAUUGGGUUUAAAGGGUCCGUAAGCGGAUCUGUAAGUCAGUGGUGAAAUCUCAUAUCUUAACUAUGAAACUGCCAUUGAUACUGCGGGUCUUGAAUGACAUUGAGGUACCUGGAAUAACUAAUGUAUCGGUGAAAUGCAUAGAUAUUACUUAGAACACCAAUUGCGAAGGCGGGUUACAAGUCUUAACUGACGCUGAUGGACGAAAGCGUGGGGAGCGAACAGGAUUACAUACCCUGGUAAUCCACGCCGUAUACGAUGCUAACUCCUUUUUGGGCUUUUGGGUUCAAAGACUACCCGAAGGUGAUAAGUUACCCACCUGGGGAGUACGUUCGCAAGAAUGGAACUCAAAUGAAAUUGACGG